Molecule: signal recognition particle RNA, 278 nt
Filed under: Phascolarctos cinereus (koala)
Lineage: Eukaryota; Metazoa; Chordata; Mammalia; Diprotodontia; Phascolarctidae
Description: Metazoan signal recognition particle RNA (ENSPCIG00000030331.2)
Rfam family: Metazoan signal recognition particle RNA
About the family: The signal recognition particle (SRP) is a universally conserved ribonucleoprotein.
Source: RNAcentral
GCUGGGCAUGGUGGCAAAUGCCUAUAAUGCCAGCUAGUAGGGAGUCUGGGUUGGCAGAUCAUUUGAGCUCUGGAAUUCUGAGGUGAAGUAAGGUAUACUGAUGGCAUGUCUACAUUAAGUUUAGCAUCAAUAAAGUGAACCCCUGUGAGUGGAGGGCAACCAGGUAGCCUAAGGAAGGUUGAACCAGUCCAGAUCAGAAAUGAAGCAGAUCAAAGUUCUCAAGGCAAUCAGGAAGGGGACUGGGCCCAUAAGUAGCCUGGGCCAGAUAGAGACACAAA